This 254-nucleotide ribosomal RNA is filed under the name uncultured bacterium. RNAcentral's name for it is "partial 16S ribosomal RNA". It matches the Rfam family "Bacterial small subunit ribosomal RNA", at positions 524 to 776 of the family's 1533-position model. The record is from RNAcentral.
UACGUAGGGUGCAAGCGUUUAAUCGGAAUUACUGGGCGUAAAGCGUGCGCAGGCGGUUAUGUAAGACAGGUGUGAGAUCCCCGGGCUUAACCUGGGAACUGCAUUUGUGACUGCAUAGCUAGAGUACGGUAGAGGGGGAUGGAAUUCCGCGUGUAGCAGUGAAAUGCGUAGAUAUGCGGAGGAACACCGAUGGCGAAGGCAAUCCCCUGGGCCUGCACUGACGCUCAUGCACGAAAGCGUGGGGAGCAAACAGG